RNAcentral lists this ribosomal RNA (446 nucleotides) under uncultured bacterium. RNAcentral's name for it is "partial 16S ribosomal RNA". It matches the Rfam family "Bacterial small subunit ribosomal RNA", at positions 338 to 795 of the family's 1533-position model. The record is from RNAcentral.
CCUACGGGUGGCAGCAGUCGAGAAUUAUUCACAAUGGGGGAAACCCUGAUGGUGCGACGCCGCGUGGGGGAAUGAAGGUCUUCGGAUUGUAAACCCCUGUCAUGUGGGAGCAAAUUAAAAAGAUAGUACCACAAGAGGAAGAGACGGCUAACUCUGUGCCAGCAGCCGCGGUAAUACAGAGGUCUCAAGCGUUGUUCGGAAUCACUGGGCGUAAAGCGUGCGUAGGCUGUUUCGUAAGUCGUGUGUGAAAGGCGCGGGCUCAACCCGCGGACGGCUCAUGAGACUGCGAGACUAGAGUAAUGGAGGGGGAACCGGAAUUCUCGGUGUAGCAGUGAAAUGCGUAGAUAUCGAGAGGAACACUCGUGGCGAAGGCGGGUUCCUGGACAUUAACUGACGCUGAGGCACGAAGGCCAGGGGAGCGAGAGGGAUUAGAUACCCGGGUAGUC